Molecule: non-coding RNA, 121 nt
Organism: Annulohypoxylon maeteangense
Lineage: Eukaryota; Fungi; Ascomycota; Sordariomycetes; Xylariales; Hypoxylaceae
Source: the annotation of a RefSeq genome assembly
UCCGAAUUGGUGUAGUGGCUAACAUUUGGUGCUCUCAUGGCGCACGAAUUCUGGCAUUCUGAUGGAAUAUUAGAUUCUGCACUGAUCCGCCAAGCCCGGGGUUCGAUUCCCCGAUUCGGAG